GGAAGCGCACAACCGGUGGAGCAUGUGGUUUAAUUCGAUACAAAGCGAAAGACCUUACCUGGGUUUGACAUGUACCUGCAAGCCUCCUGAAAGGGAGGCCGCCUACGAGGGUGGUACACAGGUGCUGCAUGGCUGUCGUCAGCUCGUGUUGUGAAACGUCCGCUUAAGUGCGGUAACGAGCGCAACCCCUGUUCUAUGUUGCAACUCAUAGAAGACUGCCCGGCUGCAAGCCGGGAGGAAGGAGGGGACGACGUCAAGUCCGCAUGGCCCUUACACCCAGGGCUACACACAUCCUACAAUGGAGCCGACAACGGGUCGCGACGGGGUAACCCUAAGCCAAUCCUCAGAAACGGCUCCUCAGUUCAGAUUGAGGGCUGCAAUUCGCCCUCAUGAAGUCGGAAUCGGUAGUAAUCGCAGAUCAGCAGGCUGCGGUGAAUACGUUCUCGCUUCUU
RNAcentral lists this ribosomal RNA (452 nucleotides) under uncultured bacterium. Its description in RNAcentral is "bacterial SSU rRNA". It matches the Rfam family "Bacterial small subunit ribosomal RNA", at positions 917 to 1382 of the family's 1533-position model. The record is from RNAcentral.